GAUGGCCAUCUCACGAAAAUGAACACAUCUUGCUCAAACAGUGCUUGCAAGGCAGUUUUGGGUGCUGUUUUAGCACUUAGUCAAAUUCGGCUAAGUCCUGGCGCGAGCAGUUUGCUCGAUCGAAUUUGCGAGCUUCAUAUCUUUCAAUCCAAGCCGAUCUGGCUCUUGCUCCAGUUGACAAUGUUGUAGAACUCAGCUAGUACUUCAACUUUGUUAACUACACCAUCUCCUAACUCGCCUUGGUUUGGAAGAUAAUCAUCGUCGAAGUUGCUCUAUCACCGGGUCGGGCGUCAACAUAAUGGCCGCAGUCACCUAUCAGCUCCUUUUCGGAACCAUGCCCCUAAAACCGACAUACAUUCAGCUCCAGAUGGCAGAUCAGACAUUCUGAAAGGUUGAAGGUAUAGUAACUGAUGUCCCUGUCAAAAUAGACGAUCAUUUUGUCCAUACAGACUUUCAGGUUAUUGACAUGGGAGAAGACGAGUACGAUCCACCCAUCAUCCUUGGGAGACCGUUCCUCAGCACCGUUAAAGCAAUCAUCUACAUUGGAACCGAAGAAGUCCACAUGCACUUCCCUUCUGAGAAGGUAUGCCGCUAUUUUGCUGAUCCUAACUAUAUAGUUGAAGACUCUAAGCUGGUCAGGACAAGAAGAAGACGACGCAACCGCAACCAGAGGAGGCAAAUCAUCAAGGACGGAUGGUCAGACUACGAAGGAGAAGUGGUAAGGUCUGAAGACAUACAACUUGAACAGAACUGUCCUGAGGAGACCGUAGCACCGAGUCAGGUGUGGAGAGAGAAGAUAGUUAUACACGAAGAGGAGGCGCCGCCGGAACCACCGACUACGCCAUCCAGCGAAUCCCAGGACGACUGAGAAAACAGAGAGUCCCAUUCAGGAGGACUUAAAAACACCGAACGCCUUGCCUAGAGGUAAACUUGAUAGUUAUCCUUUUCCUUUUAAUUAUUUAAAAUAGUUUGCUUAGUUAAUCAUGUUCAUACUAUCCUAAAAAGAAAAUAAAAAUGUUAAAACCAGUAAGCCCCAUGUGAGUAUACAAGUGGCAUAAAACCCAUAAGUACAUUCACUGUGGUGGCAUAAAAAAUAAUAAAAUAAAAAUAUUCUUCGGCUCUAUAAAAAUAUAAAAAUAAAAUUGUGAUCCUACAAAUGAAAGUAGCAUUUAUUGAGGAGGCUCAACAUGAUAAAGGCUAGAUAUUUAUGCUAACACCUAAUCAGUUCCACAAAGCUUUGUUGUCUAUUUGAGCUCCACAGAAUUCAAGGAUCAAGAAGACUAGCAGACGGAGGACAUCCUAAUCGCUGUCAGGGCGCUGCCGACUUUCAAAUACACCUCCACCACAUGCUAGCUACAUCAGAAGAAAUUACGUCAAAAUCCAGCUUGGGGUAGAGCACCCCCAUUUAUCCCGCUAAGUAUUUCUAUCUACAUUUAUACUUAUACUAUAUUAAAAUAAAAAAAUAUACAUAACCAUGAAAAACCAAAUAAAGAUUUUGUGCUUAUAUAUAUAUAUAUAUCUUUUGCUUAAUGUGCUUAAUAAAUAAAUAAAUAAAGUGGCUAUGCUAAACUAAAUCCUAAUAAAACUCUAGCAUGGAUAUGAUGAAUAGUUGCUCUGCCUAAUUUUCAAAUUUGAAGUUCUCUCUCAAGUUUAGACAUAACUGUUAUAAUUUAAAGCUUGCUCUAAACCUGAACUUGUGGGAAGAGAACUUGAUCUGAAGUCUAUGUUGUUAACGGAUAUGAUAUGGGAAGGUUGAGCUGUUGUUUAUCUGUUUCUAGAGAUGCUAGAAAUCUAGAGAAUUUUAUCUUUGAAAAUUUUUAAAAUAUCACAUGAUGAGUUCCUGUAUGAUGAGAGUUUAAAUUCCGACCACAGCUAUAUAUACAUGCUUGCUAGACUUUGAGCCACACAUUUACUUUUUACUGCUUAUGAGCAUUGAGUGUGGUCAAGCUGUGUAGACCCUAGAGCUUGUCAUGUGGUUAAAAUUAAGAUUCACUUGCACGUUCACUCACACAUGCUGCUUCUACUCCGGAAGUACGCAUCCACAUAUAUCCACUCAUUUCCAUCUCUAGAGCCACCCAAAAGUAUUCUACUCCUAAUCCAGGAGAGAAUAGCCAAAAACAUUCUCCUAUUUCUGUUUUUCCCUAUGAAAUAAAUGCUCAAGUUAUCUUGGUUACUACCACUUGCUAUAUUAUUUCAGUAGAUGAGUGCUCUAAAAAAAGAGAGAAAGAAUACGAGGAAAUAAAAAGGGGCAAGUGCCCGGAACCUCGAAAGAAAAGAAAAAGUGAGACGAGAGGUAAAAAUGGACAAGUGUCCGACAGUAGAAUUAGGGGUACAAGAUACCCACCUGAUAGGAAAGAAAAAUAAAAUGUAGAGCAUCUCAUUCUCCUCAAAAGUUUCAAAGAGCAAGAAAGGUAUGUAUGCCCUCAAAAGAGCACAAGUAGAAUUAGACUUUCACCAUUGUUAUCACAAUCAUCACCAUACUUUCGCCACACAUGCACAUCUUGAUUUGACUUAAUGACUUGUUUCUCUGGAUCCAUGGUUUGAUUAUGCAAUAAAUGUCUUGUAAGUAUGUAUACUUUAUCUCCCACCUAUGAGCUCCAGAUAUCAUAAGUCUUAUUAAAGUAGGGUGAGAGAGAAGGCAAGGUCACUAUGCUUCAUACCACAAAUACUACAUACUUUGAAAGAAGGCAUAUACCAUCACUGCCUUGGUAAGGAUCAAAAUCUACAAAAGAUAGAUCUGAGAGAGUCAUACAAGGAAUCUCUGAGUUUUAUUUGAAAAUCUGCAAAAGCUCCAGAGCUAUAGCUUAUCAAGAAUAAGAGACAUGGCACUUGACUAGACCGUUCUAUCUUUUAACUGCUCAAGACAGAAGUGACGGUUACAAGUCCCAUGGUGAAAGGUAAAAUGAGUAAGUUUUAAGUCUUGACGUUUUACUCUAACUCAGAGAUGAGACCUUAUUUGAAAGCAUGUGUACCGUCAAAACUCAAAGGCAUUACAGCAACUUCUGAUCCAUCACUGAGAUUAUCCUUGCUCAGGGACGAGCAAGAGGUAAGCUUGGGGGAGUUUGUUGACAGUCCUUAAGUAUCAAAUAUAAUCAACAAAUAAACAAAGAAAAGGAUCCAAAUGCAACCGACACCCAGACUUAGGGUUUUAUCUGACAGAAUUCCACGAGUUUUGGUGUUUGUCUAUUUCUGUAGGGGGUUAUCAGGAAUUAUGGAGGAAAGGCCCACACGUCGGGUUUACAUAGAGAUAUUAACAUGCACCGCAAUUAUCCAACAUCUAGAAGAGUCCAGAAGCCACGGAAACGAGCAGGAGGCCGAUCAGGCCAAGGGACAGGGCGCCUGCCCUCCCCCCUUGGGCGCCCGCCCUGACCGGAGAGCCAAUCAGGCUCCGCCUCGCAGAUCAUGCUCCACCGACCUAAGGGAUUAAGGAAAACCGUGCGAUUAAGGUCGGUUUGAUCCGACGGUCCAUAUUCAUUUGGAGGGACUAUAUAAGCAGGCCCCUGGCCCCUGGAGAGGAGGACCUUGGAAGCCCUAAUUCAUUCAUCCAUCUUGGGAGAAGAAGUCUCUGAUCAAGCCCUAGAGCCACCACAUCAACUAGAUCUCUAGUUUAGCAUAGCUACAUAGGAUUAGAACUAGAAGGAGUCAAUCUUCGAUUGGUUUCCAGAUCUAUCAAGAGGAUUCAUGGUAAUUCCUCUACUGUUCUUCAUUUGUUCAUCAUUGUUCUUCAAUAUUAUGAAUAUGUCUUUGUUCUACUUCAAUAUAUUGAUUAUGAAUUUGCUCUACUUGUUUAUAUUUGCAAUUAUAUCGUUCUUAGUUUAUCAUAGUUAUAUGCUUGGCUUAGUUAGAUUGGAAUUAUAUACAUGUUUAGGAUCGUAUAGCGUUUAUCCAUGUGUACAGUGGGUAAAUGAUAAGUAUUGUGUAGGCGUGGUGCCUAUACCGUAUUUAUCUGCGAUUGUACCCUAUAUGUCGGAUCGCGGGGUAGUUCGUGGUGGUGACAGCUUCAUUGAUUCUUAUAUAGUCCCCCUCUCGUGUAUAGGGAAGGCAGAGCAACAUUAUUACAGGGCAGUGAUUGCUAUGUUUCUCAUCUUCCUUGAUAAUAUCACUAUGCAUGGGCGUAGUCCUGUCUCGCAAUGAUUGCCAAGUAUAAUUGCACUAUGAUAUGCUAGACUUUAUAGUUAAGAAUAACUUAGGCAAUGUUCUUGUAGUUCAUCCUAAUUCCAUGCUAAUGACUUGCUAGAAUAUCUGUUGAGGUGCUCAUCAUUAUUAUAUGUGGCUAGUUAUGCUGAUCGGAUUAAUUAUCUUUGUCACCAUUCAUACUUUAUCUAUAUUUUAUGUGACAUUUAUCCCUGUAUGAAAGAGAUAGAUAAAUGCUCUCUAUUACACUUGCAAUGAUAGAUACUCAAUUCCAUAUUUCAGUCCAUAAGCAACAUUGAUGAUUAGUAAUCCCUUCCCAGUGGUAAAAAUAUAAAUAACGAUACCUGGAAUACUUCCCGGUUAAAAUGCUACAUCAGUAUUAAUCUGUGCGCUUGCAGAUCUCAUUUAUUAUUCAUUCAGAAGAGCAAUUGCAUAUUUCAAUACCGUGUCUCUCAUGUCAUGCUGGGGAUGACAACUUGGCUUAAGUGGCAUGAGGGAUAGGUUCGGCAUUUUUGGCGCCGUUAUCAGAACUAGAAAACUAAGUCUACUUUUGGUAAUGACGUUAAGAAUGCCCAACAUACAGCCCCCUCAGCUGAAGAAAAGUGCUACUCUGGGUGCUUCUACUAGUUCCUCCUUGCCUAGCUCUAAAAUCAUUUGCCACCAAUGCAAAGGCAUGGGACAUGUCACGAAGGAUUGCCCUAGUCGUCGCGCUUUCAUUGCUACCAAGGAUGGAUAUGCAAGUGCUAGUGAUGUUAACGAUGAUUUAGCUCUUGCUGCUAACAUUGAUGCAGAUUCCUCUAAGGGCGAUCAAGGCAAGGACGCCAUCCACAUUGACUCUGUGGCUGCCUCCACGGGCUAUCCUAGCCUUCUUGUGCAGCGUGUGUUGAGUUCACGUGUGGGACAUGAAGAAGAGAUGCAAAUCCAGCACCAUAAUUUGUUCCACAUGUAUCUCAUUGUGCAGGUUGUCAUGUUCUCACCAUCAUUGAUAGCGGGAGUUACAGCAACUUGGUGAGUUCAGAUUUGGUUGAGAAGCUUGACUUGACCAUACGACAACAUUCGUAUCCAUAUAAACUUCAAUGAUUCAAUAAUAGUGGUAAGACUAAGGUAACUAAAUCAGCCCGCAUUAGCUUUUUCAUAGACAUUUAUCAUGAUACUGCUGAUUUUGAUGUUGUACCUAUGCAAGCUUGUUCAAUUUUAUUAGGACGUCCAUGGGAAUUUGAUAAUGAUGCUUUACACUAGGGUAGAACUAAUACAUACACUCUCAUGCAUAAGGCCAAGAAAAUUACUUUACUACCUUUGUCACCUAUGGAUAUUGUUAAACAUGCUAAAGAGAUUAACAAUAAACCUCCAAUAGAGAUUAAGUUAUAAGGAGGUGAUUUACUUGCUACAACUUCUGCUGCUGCUGAGUUAUGUGAUACUCCAGAUGCACCAUGUUAUACUAUUUUUCGUCAACCUAUUAUAUCUUGUGUAUUGCCUGCUGUCACUAACCUUUUACAGGAGUUCGUUGAUGGGGAAGAGUCGAGGACUACUUCGCUUCUAGAAGGAGGGGAUGAUGAGGACAUCACCAAGAUGGAGUCGAGAACAACUCCAAUUCAAGAAGAAGAGGGUGAUGAGGACAUCGCCACAUUGGACACAUCGACACCAUCGUCUUUCUCAAGUUGCAAUUCAUCUCCAACUCAGCUACCACGUCACUCUCGGAUUCAACAGACACAUCGUUAGUGUUUUGAUCAUAACUUCUUCAUACAACAUCAAAACAGGGUGAUCUUGGACUUAUUAGAAAGGAGACAACAACACCGUCAUUUUGGAUCUAGUCCCAGCUCCAGAACAGUCGUGGAUUAAUCUGUGUGACCACAAAUUGUGCUGCAUCACUUAUUUUGGGCCAAGGUGGGGUUGGGUGGCGCCCUGCUCGCUCGCCUUCCCUCUCGUUUCGGUCACGGUCAGGUUUGAGUUGAUCACAGUAUAAUUGCAUACAUCUUACCUUGAAUUGUCAUCCGAAUCUAAGGGACAAGUGUCCGGAACCUCGAUUCGAAAAAAAGAGAGAGCUCAUGGUCCCUCCAACAUAAUAUGCCAAGGAGUGGAUGAUUUGUCUGAUCCAGGAAUAUGAUAUUUCCCUCCCUGGUUAUAAACAUCAAAUUAAUAUCACAACAGUUGAUGCCACCACAAUUAAGAGAAGGUCGAAGCUAUGUUUUAUUUGCAAACUCCACUUACUCUCCAGUAGACAAAAUUUAAGGAAGAGAGUAGUCUAUUUUAAGCUAUCCUACUCUACAAUCACUAUAGAAUUCAUGAUAAACACUUUAAAUUUCCACAAUACAUGAUGGCUAGACUAGUUUUAUAUAAUUUAAUUUCCAAGUUAUGCAUUAAAUGUUUACUCAUUAUGAUAGAACCAACCUUUUUAUCGGGACGAGUAAAAGCCUAAGUGUGGGGGUAAUUGUUGACACUUGUUAACUCACAAUAUUUGUUAGCAUUUAUUUCUCCACCAGGUAUGAAUAUCUACUAGAAUAGGGUUAUUACUGACAAUUUUCAUGAGUUUUGCAUAUUCUUUGUUUUCCAGGGUUUAUUUUAGAAAGAGUUGAAAAGAGGGAUUCAAGUGCAAAAUAAACACGAAACUUAUCCGCGACGCAACAACACCACCAACGGGACGUGGGAAGACUCUAGAAGGUCUUACUUAGUUGGAGCUAAAAUAAUUGUUUAUUCUGACCAUGCUACUCUUAAAUAUCUGCUCACUAAGAAAGAUGCUAAACCACGAUUCAUAAGAUGGAUUUUAUUACUUCAAGAAUUUGAUUUGGAAAUUAAGAAUAGAAAAGGAAUAGAAAACCCUAUUGCUGAUUAUUUGUCUUGGGUGUAUUUUAAGGAACCUUAGGAAUUACCUAUUAAUGACUAAUUAAGAGAUGACAUGCUGUUUAAAGUGACCAAGAUAGAUCAUUGGUACGCAAAUAUUGUCAACUUUAUGGUUGCAGGUUACGUACCACUAGGAGAAAAUUAGAAGAGGCUCAUUUAUGAAAGUCGUCUCCACAUAUGGGAUCCACCCUACCUCUUUUGGGUAUGGUCAAAUGGGUUGCUUAGAAGAUGUGUACCAGUGGAGGAGGGCAUGUAGAUCAUUCAAAAAUGUCAUGCAUCACCAUAUGGAGGUCAUUAUGUGGUAUUCCGUACUCAUGCAAAAAUUUGGCAGAGUGGCUUCUUCUGGCCAACCAUGUAUGAAGACACUAAAGAUUUAUCCAAAGAUGUGGGUCGUGUCAGAGGCACGGAAAUAACAAUGCUAGAGAUGCUAUGCCACUCACCAACAAUCUUCAGAUAUAACUCUUUGAUGUCUGGGGAAUUGAUUACAUGGGACCAUUUGUGAAAUCGUGGAAUUAUAAGUACAUUUUGGUGGCAGUUGACUAUGUAUCCAAAUGGGUAGAAGUCAUGCCAUGCAAGAAGGCUGAUUCAAGGCACUCAAAGAGGAUGUUUGAAGAGGUUAUAUUUCCGAGGUUUGGAACACCUAGGAUGGUUAUAAGUGAUGGAGGAACACAUUUCACUCAUAAGAAGUUUCACUCAUACCUACAAGCUCAUGGAAUACGACAUAAUGUCGCUACUCCAUAUCAUCCUCAAACAAGUGGCUAGGCAGAAACAUCAAAUAAACAAAACAAGAACAUUCUCUAGAAAAUAGUAAAUGAGAUGGGAACUUUAUGGAAGGAUCAGUUACUAGAUGCACUAUGGGCAUACCGGACAGCUUAUAAAACACCUUUGGGUAUGUCACCAUAUCAAUUGGUAUAUGGUAAGACCUACCACUUACUAGUUGAACUAGAACAUAAAGCUCACUGGGCUAUCAAAAGAUGGAAUAUGGAUUUAGAAGCCGUUGGAGAGAAAAGAAAAAUGCAAUUAUUAGAAAUAGAAGAGUGGAGAGAAAAGGCGUAUCACAAUUCGAAGAUCUACAAAGAGCGAACGAAGAGAUGGCAUGACAAGAGGAUCAAGAAGAAGGAAUUUGCACCAGGAGAUAAGGUAUUACUUUUUAAUUCCAGGUUCAAAUUAUUCAGGCUUGGAAAAUUGAGGAGCAAAUGGGAAGGACCCUUCACCAUCGUGAAUUCAUCACCACACGGAGCAGUAACUCUACAAUCAAGCGAAGGUAUGUUAUUCAAGGUAAAUGGACACCGACUUAAACUUUAUUUAGAACCAUUUGAUUCAGGAGUAGUUGAUGAAAUAGAAUUUAUCCAAUUACCAACAUAUUAAGCUCUAUUUAUUCCAGUAUGAAAAUUUAUCCGAAAACACGUCUAACAGAAAAUAGGAAGAGUCUAAAGGCACCACACAGAAGGGCACCCAAGGUAGGCCCCUGGUGGGGCCGGCCAAUGCCUAGGUGGGGCCGAUCGGUGCCCCCUUGCCGCCUCUCGUCCCAACUCUCGUUCCCUAUCCUUCUACACCCUUCCUACGAAUAUUCGUGCAAUAUCCAAUUGUGUUUUGAUAUUCUUUCGUACGGAUCCCGUAGAGCCUAGGAUUUGUCCUCAUCCUAUCUCCUGAAAACCCAUAUAAAUACGUACCUAGACCCUCCUCAAUAGUAUCCCAUAACCAGCCACCUCUUUCCUCAAAGAAGCUCUCCAAUCUAGAUCUAAUAGCAAUGGCGGACAAGGUAGUCGUCUCCUAUGACGCGGACUUCAACAACAUCCCCAGCGAUGACUCGAAGGCCCUCGUCCUCGUGCAGCCGAAGCCUCUCGUCGUUGUGCCACCGAAGCAAGUUGCUACAGUGCCCUAGCGUCAUGAGCAAGCCUACUACAUAUAAGAUCCAUCUGCUCUUCCUCCAACUCCUACAAGACUGCUGCUUGAAGGAGGUGCUAAGGGGAAGCAAAUUGCUAUCCCGAAGGGUACUCCGCUUCUUCCACCUAAGGACAAUGAACGGCUCUUAUCGGUCCAAACCGAUAAGAAUGGGAAGCUGAUAUGUGCCAAGUACACCAAUGCUCGUCCUGUUAUCCAAGGGGUUCGUGCAAACCCUAAUGAAGUAUGCUACGUUGAGCAUAUCGCACCAAAGCCCAAACCCAAGAGGAAGAGAGCAGCACUAGCAUUAGCACUAGAAAACCAAGGGGUUCGUGCAAACCCUAAUGAAGUAUGCUACGUUGAGCAUACCGCACCCAAACCUAAGAGGAAGAGAGCAGCACCAGCAAUAGCACUGGAAAAAGUUCCCAAGCAGCCAACUCCUACCCUACGCACCCUCAACGAGAAGCUUGAAGGCCUCUUUGACAUUGUCAAGGUGAUGGAGAAGUCCAACAAUCUAAGGGACAAGCUCAUAGAAGGCAUGGACAAUUAGUUAGGGAUCAGUCUGUUGACACCGUUUUUGGGCACGUGUCCAUGUUUGGUAGAGUACAGGCCGGCAGGAUAGGACGACGGUAUUUUGUCUACAGGAUGAAUUGCCGAUGAGGGUGGUUGCCGAUGAAGGAGAGAUUGAAUGUGACUAAAUCUGUAGAUGGUGAUUUGUCUGUGCCGAUGGCUACGAUAGGGAAGUCUGCCGAUGACUAUGACAAGGGAGUCUGUUGAUGAUACGGAGGGAGAGUCCGGGAGUUGCCGAUCGGUUUGUGGAGAUGUUCCAGCUUGUCACGGGGGCAUAGCUUUAUGUUUUCCUUAGUUAUUUAAAUCGUUUUGUAUACGGAUUCUAUGUAAUUUGGAAUUCGAAUUCUAGUCAUGUCUGGUUGUAACUCUUUGAGCAAGGUAUAAAUAUAGACCCUAGGGCCUUGUAAUGAGGGAUCAAUCAAUCAAUCAAACACACGCUUUUACUCAUAUUCCAGCAUCUACUUUUUUCGACGACUUCGUCAUACUUUUUCCUUUUCAUUACGAGUUCUUAGGAAUUCAUCGACUUAAGCUCGGCGCGUUCUCAAGUUCCGCGUGAGUACCUCUUAGCCGUGACAUCCGGGCGCAUCGCUGUUGUCAGGACUAAAGUAUUCGAGUUACCACCUUUGCCGAUAGUAAGGUCAAAUCGGCUAGCACGCCUUAACGUUUGAAUCGGGUAUUAGCCCUUUGUGUUUGCAGAUCAAUUUUUGCACCAACACAUCUUUUGGCACGCCUGGUGGGACAGAUUCAAGAUCAAGAUCUACAUGUCGACUUCUGAGUUUGAUCAAGACAACGUCAUCCCCGUGACGGAAGCCAAUCUCAAGGAUGAGCAGACUGGGCUAUCAAAAGAUGGAAUAUGGAUUUAGAAGUCGUUGGAGAGAAAAGAAAAAUGCAAUUAUUAGAAAUAGAAGAGUGGAGAGAAAAGGUGUAUCACAAUUUGAAGAUCUACAAAGAGCGAACGAAGAGAUGGCAUGACAAGAGGAUCAAGAAGAAGGAAUUUGCACCAGGAGAUAAGGUAUUACUUUUUAAUUCCAGGUUCAAAUUAUUCAGGCUUGGAAAAUUGAGGAGCCAAUGGGAAGGACCCUUCACCAUCGUGAAUUUAUCACCACACGGAGCAGUAACUCUACAAUCAAGCGAAGGUAUGUUAUUCAAGGUAAAUGGACACCGACUUAAACUUUAUUUAGAACCAUUUGAUUCAGGAGUAGUUGAUGAAAUAGAAUUUAUCCAAUUACCAACAUAUUAAGCUCUAUUUAUUCCAGUAUGAAAAUUUAUCCGAAAACACGUCUAACAGAAAAUAGGAAGAGUCUAAAGGCACCACACAGAAGGGCACCCAAGGUAGGCCCCUGGUGGGGCCGGCCAACGCCUAGGUGGGGCCGAUCGGUGCCCCCUUGCCGCCACUCGUCCCAACUCUCGUUCCCUAUCCUUCUACACCCUUCCUACGAAUAUUCGUGCAAUAUCCAAUUGUGUUUUGAUAUUCUUUCGUACGGAUCCCGUAGAGCCUAGGAUUUGUCCUCAUCCUAUCUCCUGAAAACCCAUAUAAAUACGUACCUAGACCCUCCUCAAUAGUAUCCCAUAACCAGCCACCUCUUUCCUCAAAGAAGCUCUCCAAUCUAGAUCUAAUAGCAAUGGCGGACAAGGUAGUCGUCUCCUACGACGCGGACUUCAACAACAUCCCCAGCGAUGACUCGAAGGCCCUCGUCCUCGUGCAGCCGAAGCCUCUCGUCGUUGUGCCACCGAAGCAAGUUGCUACAGUGCCCUAGCGUCAUGAGCAAGCCUACUACAUAUAAGAUCCAUCUGCUCUUCCUCCAACUCCUACAAGACUGCUGCUUGAAGGAGGUGCUAAGGGGAAGCAAAUUGCUAUACCGAAGGGUACUCCGCUUCUUCCACCUAAGGACAAUGAACGGCUCUUAUCGGUCCAAACCGAUAAGAAUGGGAAGCUGAUAUGUGCCAAGUACACCACUGCUCGUCCUGUUAUCCAAGGGGUUCGUGCAAACCCUAAUGAAGUAUGCUAUGUUGAGCAUAUCGCACCAAAGCCCAAACCCAAGAGGAAGAGAGCAGCACUAGCAUUAGCACUAGAAAACCAAGGGGUUCGUGCAAACCCUAAUGAAGUAUGCUACGUUGAGCAUACCGCACCCAAACCUAAGAGGAAGAGAGCAGCACCAGCAUUAGCACUGGAAAAAGUUCCCAAGCAGCCAACUCCUACCCUACGCACCCUCAACGAGAAGCUUGAAGGCCUCUUUGACAUUGUCAAGGUGAUGGAGAAGUCCAACAAUCUAAGGGACAAGCUCAUAGAAGGCAUGGACAAUUAGUUAGGGAUCAGUCUGUUGACACCGUUUUUGGGCACGUGUCCAUGUUUGGUAGAGUACAGGCCGGCAGGAUAGGACGACGGUAUUUUGUCUACAGGAUGAAUUGCCGAUGAGGGUGGUUGCCGAUGAAGGAGAGAUUGAACGUGACUAAAUCUGUAGAUGGUGAUUUGUCUGGGCCGAUGGCUACGACAGGGAAGUCUGCCGAUGACUAUGACAAGGGAGUCUGUUGAUGAUACGGAGGGAGAGUCCGGGAGUUGCCGAUCGGUUUGUGGAGAUGUUCCAGCUUGUCACGGGGGCAUAGCUUUAUGUUUUCCUUAGUUAUUUAAAUCGUUUUGUAUACGGAUUCUAUGUAAUUUAGAAUUCGAAUUCUAGUCGUGUCUGGUUGUAACUCUUUGAGCAAGGUAUAAAUAUAGACCCUAGGGCCUUGUAAUGAGGGAUCAAUCAAUCAAUCAAACACACGCUUUUACUCAUAUUCCAGCAUCUACUUUUUUUCGACGACUUCGUCAUACUUUUUCCUUUUCAUUACGAGUUCUUAGGAAUUCAUCGACUUAAGCUCGGCGCGUUCUCAAGUUCCGCGUGAGUACCUCUUAGCCGUGACAUCCGGGCGCAUCGCUGUUGUCAGGACUAAAGUAUUCGAGUUACCACCUUUGCCGAUAGUAAGGUCAAAUCGGCUGGCACGCCUUAACGUUUGAAUCGGGUAUUAGCCCUUUGUGUUUGCAGAUCAAUUUUUGCACCAACACAUCAUUUGGCACGCCUGGUGGGACAGAUUCAAGAUCAAGAUCAACAUGUCGACUUCUGAGUUUGAUCAAGAGAACGUCAUCCCCGUGACGGAAGCCAAUCUCAAGGAUGAGCAGAAGCAAGCUAUUGCUAAAGCUAUGGAGGAUUACAAGCAGCAAUGCCUGAGGUCCUUCAGCAUGAACAGGAGUGGUGAGGUGAUUCAGAAGGAUGCACUGCCGGCACCUCGGCAGGUUACUUUUGAGUCCAAUCCUGGCAAACUUCAAGAGAUGGUUGACAGCGCUAUCAACCGUGCUUUGAUCAACCAAGCUGGUGUACUGUCUAAUACGGUUUUCAAUGUCGUGGCAAGAACUUUCAAGGAGGGACAAUUGCCACCGGAUUAUGUGGGCCCCACUUAUCACCAGCCAAAGUCACCAGUGGUCACAGCUCCAUCGGCUGCUACGGCUGUUGCGGGUAUGGAGAUUCCUGUUCCGCCAAGCACAUUGGGAGUCACCAAUGGACAGUCUAUGCCGAUGACAACUAAUCCACAAACUUCAGAUGGGCAGAUUAAACUUGCCACGGAUUUGUUAGCAUCGGCAAUGACAGGGUUAACUCCUCCCAACUGGUGGGGUUAUGGCAUGCCUCCAGAGUUAACGCCGGGUACAUCGCAGACGACUGAUAUGAGAGGCAAGACUCCCAUGGCAUCGGCACCUCCCAAUAUGCCGAUGAACUAGAGUCCCCAGUAUACUACAACUACUACUGCAAGACCUUACACUGGGAAUUCUCAAGCUCCAAUGUCCUAGAUGCCUAACGCAGCGGCAGACUCGAUGCUGAUGCAACAGAGGUCUAUGGCUCAAUCAGGGUAUGUCAAUUCAAUGAUGAUGCCCAAUUACCAGUCAUCGGCAGGGCCUAUGCCGAUGAAUGCUAAUAAUGGAUGGCUUGGGCAGCAAGUCUUUCCGCAAACGCCCCAACAGAGUCACCAGGCUACAGGGUUCCAGCAAGGACAGAUCUAUCCCGGGUUCCAGAAUCAGGGGAUCCCUAACCAGCCAAUGAGUCUCGGGCAGCAGGUCAGCGGACAGCAGAUUGGCGGGCAACAGCUUGGUGGUCCACAGGUUGGAGGUCAGAUGAUCAACCCAAUGUUCCGUGCAGAUCGUGCACCGAACAGACACGUGGAGGCUUACCAGCAGGCACCUGAUCCGCAACCGCCCCAUCGGCAAGAUGCCGAUGCAUACUGGGCCGAUAAGAUUGCUGAAGUAAUGAGAGACCAAUUCGGGAUAAAACCCAAAGUCAAUACUUACUCUUAUCGGACACCGUAUCCUCCUGCAUACGACUUGAUCCCGCUUCCACAUCGGUACAAGGUACUGGAUUUUACUAAGUUUUCUGGGCAGGAUGACACGUCGACCAUGGAACACGUUAACAGGUUCAUCAUUCAAUGCGGAGAAGCUGGUAACACGGACGAGUUAAGGGUUCGUCUAUUUUCAUCAUCAUUGUCUGGAUCUACUUUUACCUGGUUUAUAUCACUACCUCCCAACUCAGUGGUUACUUGGGCCGAUCUGGAAAAACAAUUCAACAAAUACUUCUUCUCUGGGGUCCAUGAGAAGAAGAUCACCGAUUUGGUCAAAUUAAAGCAGUGUAAUGAUGAAUCGGUUGAGGGUUUUGUACAGAGGAUACGGGAAGUCAAGAACAAGUGCUAUAGUCUGGUUCUGGACGAUCGGCAGCUAGCCGAUUUGGCUUUCCAGGGUUUGUUGCCACACAUUAGGGACAAAUAUGCAUCUCAGGAGUUUGAAAGCUUAAGUCAUCUGGUGCAAAGAAUCUCCGAUCAAGACAUCAAGCCGUUUGAACCCAAGAGAGCAUGGAACAAAAAGGUGUCGUUCGUUGACGAAGCAACAAGCUCGGAUUCCGAUGAAGAACCAGUCAUCGGCUUGGCAGAGUGGGUGAAAAACAAGAAGCCGAUGUCUUGUCCUUUUGGACAUAAAGAACCAGAGAAAUUUUUGUUUGACACCGCUAAAGCCGAUAGGAUAUUCGACUUUCUGCUCCAGGAAGGUCAGAUCAAACUGUCACCUAAUCACGUGAUCCCAUCGGCUGAAGAAUUGAAAAAGAUGACAUAUUGCAAGUGGCACAAUGCAACUUCUCAUGGCACUAACGAGUGCAAGGUGUUCAGACAGCAACUGCAAUCGGCUAUAGAAUCUGGGAGAAUCAAAUUUGACAGCUCCAAGACCCAGAAGCCGAUGAAGAUUGAUCAACAUCCUUUCCCAACGAACAUGUUGGAUGCUAAGGGAAAAGCCAAGGUCUUAACCUCAGAAGCAGCCGAAAGAAGUGCAUCGGUAGAUCCUCAGCAUCAAGUUACUACUGCCGAUGCGAGAGGAAGGGGCUUGGUCCAGGAAGGAACCAGCUCAGGAAGGCCUCCCCGAUCUGGGAUCGUAAUAACUCACAGAAGGCCUGGGGAAACUUGGCAGCAACGAGAAGAUCGGUACCGGCGCCAGCAAGAAGAUUAUCGUCGGGAAGAAGAAAGACGCCGACAGGAGUGGAAUCGGCAUAGGGAUCACUGGAAUUGUCCGUUCUUCAUCCAUUGCUGGGAGGAGAAUAUCAAGCUUCCUACUGUCAGAGAUUUCCCUGAGUGCAACGGUUAUGAUCGGUACGACAGGUCCGAUCGGAACUAUCAUGAUAAUGAUCGGCGCUUCGAUGGGUCGAGUAGAGGGAGAGCAUCUGUCCAUGAUCGGCUGGGAGGCAGACUCAGUGUGCACGACAGGCUUGGUGAUCAUGUCCAAUAUUUUCCCAGGAACCAGGAAGAACUUGAGGAGAUGGCUAAUGCACAAGUUCCCAACGAAUUCAUAUUUUGCAGGGAUGCCAAUGCGCAUCGGAUGGAGUCAAGGGAAAAUCAUCGCCCGGCAGCAAGGCAGAAGCCGCUUCCUCCAUGGUGUCCAGAAGGGUUGACCAAGACACAGAAAAGGAGGUUGCAGCGCGAAAGGCAAGGAGGGCUAAGCAAGGGCGAGAACUCUGGUCAGUCUGGAGAUCAGCAGCAAUCAGAUCCCAAGGGGGAAGGUCCAUCGGCAGAUGUCAACAUGGUCUUUAUGUUGCCGAUGGAGUUUCUUCCGCCAUCCAGUGAUGAUGAGUUGGAAUUUUCCGACCAAAUAGCUCAAUUGGCUCUGGAUCCGAUGACAGCUAUCUUCGAGAAACCUGCCGAUGACGAAAGACAACAUCUCAAGGCUCUGUUUGUCAAAGGGAGGGUUGAUGGGCAGCCGAUGACCAAGAUUCUAGUUGAUGGUGGGGCUGCUAUCAACAUCAUGCCGUAUGCAGUAUAUCGGAAGCUUGGGAGAGGGGAUCAGGAUUUGACCAAGACCGAUAUGAUGCUUAAAGACUUUGAAGGGAACGUGUCUCCAGUCAAGGGGGCAAUAUGUGUAGAGUUGACCAUCGGCAGCAAAACAUUGCCGACAACCUUCUUUGUGAUCAGUGGAAAGGGUGCUUACAACUUGCUAUUGGGAAGAGAUUGGAUUCACGCUAAUUGUUGCAUCCCGUCUACACUGCACCAAUGCUUGGUUCAGUGGGUAGGAGACAAAAUUGAGAUUGUCCCGGGAGAUUCUUCUUAUGUCAUUGCGUCGGCAGAGGCGGACACAUAUGAGAGGACUAGGUGUAUUUCAGGAGAAGUUUGGGAGAAAGAUUUUCUCAAGGUUGCCGAUUACGAGAUUCCACCGAUCCAAGUAGUCGGUUCUGACGAAGGUUUUUAAUGGAUAGGUUCGCCGAUGAUGGAAAGUUAGGCGAGGGAUUCACAUCGGCCGAUGAUUUGGUAGAAGUAGAUAUAGGUAAUGGUGAUAAGCCUAGACCCACUUUUAUUAGUGCUAAGUUAGAUUCUGAGUGUAAGCAACGGUUAACCGAUUUGUUAAAGGAAUAUAAAGAUUGCUUUGCUUGGGAUUAUACUAAGAUGCCUAGUUUGGACCGAUCAAUUGUUGAACAUCGGUUGCCUAUUAAGUCUGGAUUUCGGCCACAUCAGCAGCCAGCUCGCCGAUGUAAUCCUAAUAUUCUUCCUGACAUCAAGGCCGAAAUAACCAAACUUGUUGAAGCCAAAUUUAUUCGGCAGUGUCGGUAUGCCGAAUGGAUUUCCAAUGUUGUUCCGGUCUACAAGAAGAACGGGAAGCUUUGGGUCUGCAUUGAUUUCAGGAAUCUCAAUAAAGCUACGCCGAUGGAUGGAUACCCAAUGCCAGUUGCCGAUCUGCUGGUUGACGCUGCGGCUAGGCAUCGGAUUAUUAGCUUUAUGGAUGGCAAUGCAGGAUACAAUCAAAUAUUCAUGGCUGAAGAAGAUAUUUCAAAAACUGCGUUUAGGUGCCCUGGUCAUGUUGGAUUGUUUGAGUGGAUAGUCAUGACUUUUGGCCUAAAGAAUGCUGGUGCUACUUAUCAAAGGGCCAUGAAUUUUAUAUUUCAUGAGUUCAUCGGCAAACUGGUAGAGAUUUAUAUUGAUGAUGUGGUGGUCAAGUCUGGGGAUUUCUCAAAGCAUCUUGCCGAUUUACGAAAGGUGUUGGAAUGCACGAAGAAGCAUGGUUUGAAAAUGAAUCCCAAUAAGUGUGCAUUUGGGGUAUCGGCAGGGCAAUUUCUUGGUUUCAUGGUGCACCAGAGGGGAAUUGAAAUCAGUCGAAGAUCUAUUGAUGCCAUCAAUAAGAUAGUAGCCCCUACCAACAAGACUGAGUUACAAUCCUUGAUCGGCAAGGUAAAUUUUAUCAGAAGGUUUAUAUCUAACUUGUCUGGUAGAAUUCGUGCUUUCAGCCCUCUUCUUAAGUUAAAGGCCGAUCAAGAGUUUGUUUGGGGGAAGGAACAACAGAUGGCUCUGGAUGAAAUCAAGAAGUGUUUAAUAAAUCCUCCAGUUCUAAUUCCACCUCAGCAAGGGAAGCCCUUCAGAUUGUAUUUGUCUACCGAUGGGAUGGUCAUCGGUUCAGCUUUAAUUAAAGAGUUUGAAGGGAAGGAGCGUGUAAUUUAUUAUUUAAGUAGGAGGUUGAUUGAUGCUGAGACCAGGUAUUCGGCUAUUGAGAAACUGUGCUUGUGCUUAUAUUUCUCUUGUAUUAAGUUAAGGCAUUACUUGCUAUCGGCCGAAUGCACUGUUAUUUGCAAGGAUGAUGUGGUCCGGUACAUGCUGUCCAUGCCAAUUAUGAGUGGCAGGAUGGGUAAGUGGAUUUUGGCGCUGAGUUCGAUCUGCGUUAUGAAUCAGCUAAGGCAGUUAAGGGACAGAUUAUGACCGAUUUUGUAACUCAACAUUGUGGUACGGUGGAAGCUUUGGAAAUUGUACCUUGGACACUGUUCUUUGAUGGAUCCACAUGUGACCGGGGGCAGGAAUCGGCAUAGUAUUAGUUUCCCCUCUGGGAAGGAAGUAUGAGUUUUCCUUGCCGAUUAUUGCCACGUCAACAAAUAAUCAGGCUGAGUAUCAGGCUUUGAUAAAAGGAUUGGAAUUGUUGAGGGAAGUUCAUGCUGAUGCUGUCGAAGUUUUCGGGGAUUCUAUGCUGGUUAUAAAUCAGUUGGCUGGAAGUUAUGAAUGCCGAAGUGAAGUUCUCAUAACUUAUUACGAGCGGAGCGUGCAACUACUGAAGGAAUUCAAGGAUUUCCGAUUAAAGUAUGUUCCUCGACUGCAUAAUGAAGAGGCCAAUCGGUUGGCUCAGCAUGCUUCGGGAUAUCAACCUAUAAUUGGUGCAAUAUCGGCAACUGGUGCCGAUGAUUGGAGGAAAGAAAUCGUUGAUUAUUUGAAAGAUCCAUCUAAGAAAGUUGAGAGACGAGUUCGGUUUCAAGCUACUAAGUAUGUGCUCCUCGAAGACGAAUUGUAUUACCGAACUAUUGAUGGGAUUCUUCUUCGAUGCUUGGGUGAUGAUGAAGCUAGAAGUUUGAUGGGAGAAAUCCAUGAAGGGGUAUGUGGAGCACAUCAGUCGGCUUUCAAGAUGAAGUGGAUGAUUAGGAGGAAUGGAUAUUACUGGCCGACCAUACUUGAAGAUUGCUUUAGGUAUUUUAAGGGGUGUCAAGGAUGUCAGAAGUUUGGUAAUAUUCAAAGAACACCCGCAUCGGCCAUGAAUCCUAUUAUCAAGCCUUGGCCGUUCCGGGGAUGGGCUAUUGAUCUAAUUGGCCAGAUUUAUCCACCAUCUAGCAAAGGGCAUAAGUUUAUUUUGGUUGCCACCGAUUAUUUCACUAAAUGGGUUGAAGCUAUUCCUUUGAAGAAAGUCACAUCGGUCAAUAUGAUUGAUUUUGUGAAGGAGCACAUUAUUUACCGAUUUGGGAUUCCUCAGACAAUUACUACUGAUCAACGCACUAUGUUCACAUCGGGGGAGUUUGAUGAAUUCGCAAUCGAUAUGGGGAUUAAAGUGUUGAAUUCCUCUCCUUACUAUGCUCAAGCUAAUGGGCAGGCCGAGGCGUCUAACAAAGGAAUCAUUAAGCUUAUUAAGCGGAAGAUUGAAGAGAAUCCUGAAGGUGGCACACAUUGUUAAAUGAAGCCUUGUGGUCCUAUCGGAUGGCUUGUCAUGGAUCAACUAAGGUUGCACCUUAUCAGUUGGUGUAUGGACAUGAUGCAGUAUUGCCUUGGGAAAUUAAGGCUGGAUCUAGGCGACUAUCUUUUCAAGAUCAAUUGGCUGCCGAUGAUUAUGCUACUUUGAUGACAGACGAGUUGGAUGAUCUAGCAGGGCAUCGGUUAAGGGAUUUGAUGAGUAUAGAGGAAAAUAAGAAGAGAGUUGCUAGAUGGUAUGACAAGAAAGUAAAGGCUAAGGAGUUUGCCAAUGGAGACUUGGUAUGGAAAUUGAUUUUACCGAUCGGGACUAAAAGCUCGAAGUUUGGGAAGUGGUCUCCCAAUUGGGAGGGUCCCUAUCGGAUAAGGCGAUCGGCUCCUCAUAACGCCUACGUUCUAGAAACUCUCGAAGGAGUUGAAUUUCCCAGAGCAUUAAAUGGCAAAUAUUUGAAGAAGUACUACCCUAGCAUAUGGGUCGACGCAUAAAGAUUUAAAUGCCGAUAACACUCCUAUCGGCUGGAUUAAAAUGUAUCUGGGGCCGGACUUAAUGUUUCAAAGGUUGCCGAUAACAGUCCUAUCGGCUAGACUAAAACAGCAAGGAAACUGGAAGUGCAGAGAAGUAAAGAUGUGUCACCGAUGAGAGCUUCAUGUGUUCAGCAGCACCUGGAUCGCCGAUAUGGCGCGCAGCCGGAUUUGGUUGGCUACUUCUAUCGUCAUCGGCAGAACCUUCUAUCGGCUUCAGCUUCUUCUUCAACUGCAACGCCUUGCGACCAUGGGCAUUUCGUUCUUGCUCGAGGAGCUUGAUGGUCUCUGGCAGUUGGUUCUUCUCCUGUUGGGCUUGGGAUAAGGCAUCCUCCACUUGCUUGAGUUCUGCCAACAGGGCUUCUCUCUUUGCCGAUAGGUCAGAGAUCUUCUGCUUCAGUGCAUCUCCUGAGGACUUCAAAGUGCCGAUGUUCUUGUGCUUUUCAUCGGCCAAGAGUUUCUCCUUCAUCAUCUCUUCAAGAGGAGGUGAUAGGCCGCUCCAAGCAGGUAUCGGCCAAGGGGAAAUCGGCCACCAUUGGCCAGAUUUUCCGCUGCUGCUAAAUGAACAGAAGUUGGUCCUGCCGAUCGACCACAAAACACGAAUUUGUCUAACCACAUGUUCAAAAAGCAGGUCUGCUCCUUUAUGUCAACAGGGCCUGUUUUGCGGUAUUUUGGAUAUAUCCUGACCAGCCGCCGAUGGAGCGGGUUUCUACCUUAGCACUGGGUUUGGUAUCAAAAAAAUGGGUGCUAUCGGCAGAAGAAAUAUCUAACCCGUUGAGCAUAGCCACAUCGGCAAGAGUGGGGGAAACAGGGCCAUGGCCAAAGACAAAGGCAUUGAGCGUGUCUGACCAGAAGUAUGAUGCAGCUAUCAGCAGUGACUCGUUCCUAUGCAUAUCGGCAAUAGACAACCUAAUGCAUUGGGCUAGAUUUCUUUCAUCCCAUUGGACUUCAUUUGAGUUGCUGACUCUCAAAAACCAAUCUAUCCACCCCACGGUACGGCUGGGCUAGGAACAAAAAGUAUCCUUCCACAGAUCCAAAGAAAAGUUCUCUGCUCUGAAAGGGAUCCUGUUGGUUUCUGCGCUUAUGAGAUCGGUUGGAUCUGGAUCCCCUAACGGGCCAAGGCAAUGGAGAUGUGGUCGAUCAGUGGGGAUGACAAUUUUGUUAGCCGAUUCCUAAUGGUUUUGGAGAUAUAAAAAAAAACAAAAAAAGGAGAAGGGGGAAAAAUAUUCAGUACGGCGGAUUGCAGAUGAACGAGGGUGCGAGAAAAGUACAAGAGAUGGUGCGAAGGACUAACCUCAGGGAUGAUGAAGUUGACGGCCAUUUUGCCACGGAGGAGAAGCUUGAGAGUUUUGGAGUUGGUGAAGAAGGAGCCUCAUCGGAGAUCUUGUAGCUUUUGGAACAGCGCCGCUGCCGGGAAGGUGAGGUUGGAGUUGUGGAAUGAUGUGAUGGAGAAGGAGUACCCGAGAAGGAACUACUUAUAGGACAAAACGGGCAGGGGCAAAUCUGACUUAUCUCUUUGCCGCAUCUGAGAAAUCCGAGGGUGCUCAGGUAGAUAUGGUAACUGUUUGCACGGUAAUCAAGGGAUUGUGUAGGAGAUUUGACAGAAAGCGGUCAUUAUUCAGAGAUAUUUCAUUGUGCGAGAUCUCCUGGUCGGUCCAUCGGCGAUGUCUUGUAACGGUCAUAUUGCCGAUGGGCAGAUAAAGUGGAGAUAGCCGUUUGGGAACAUAAGGUACGAGCAUCCUGGUCAGUCCAUCGGCAAAUCUUUGUAACGGUAAUAUUGCCGAUGUGCGACCAAAAAGGAAAUAUCCGUUUAGGAAGUUGAAGAUUUCAAGGGGUUUACAAAAGAACAAGGUCAGAGUUGUUCAGAUUGAGGUUGUCGGUUACCAGGUUAGGAGCAUUAAUUGCGGGAAAAGGCAUCAUUACUGCAGAGAAUUUCGGAGGAUCUCAUACUCCGAAAUUGGGGGGCAUGUGUUGACACCGUUUUUGGGCACGUGUCCAUGUUUGGUAGAGUACAGGCCGGUAGGAUAGGACGACGGUAUUUUGUCUACAGGAUGAAUUGCCGAUGAGGGUGGUUGCCGAUGAAGGAGAGAUUGAACGUGACUAAAUCUAUAGAUGGUGAUUUGUCUGUGCCGAUGGCUACGACAGGGAAGUCUGCCGAUGACUAUGACAAGGGAGUCUGUUGAUGAAACGGAGGGAGAGUCCGGGAGUUGCCGAUCGGUUUGUGGAGAUGUUCCAGCUUGUCACGGGGGGAUAGCUUUAUGUUUUCCUUAGUUAUUUAAAUCGUUUUGUAUACGGAUUCUAUGUAAUUUGGAAUUCGAAUUCUAGUCGUGUCUGGUUGUAACUCUUUGAGCAGGGUAUAAAUAUAGACCCUAGGGCCUUGUAAUGAGGGAUCAAUCAAUCAAUCAAACACACGCUUUUACUCAUAUUCCAGCAUCUACUUUUUUUCGACGACUUCGUCAUACUUUUUCCUUUUCAUUACGAGUUCUUAGGAAUUCGUCGACUUAAGCUCGGCGCGUUCUCAAGUUCCGCGUGAGUACCUCUUAGCCGUGACAUCCGGGCCCAUCGCUGUUGUCAGGACUAAAGUAUUCGAGUUACCACCUUUGCCGAUAGUAAGGUCAAAUCGGCUGGCACGCCUUAACGUUUGAAUCGGGUAUUAGCCCUUUGUGUUUGCAGAUCAAUUUUUGCACCAACACAGUCUCAAGUUAAUCCGCAGCCUCAAGCGCGAUAAAGACAAGCUUAAAGCAGAGGUUGCAGCCCUCCAAGAAGAAAUUCAGGGCCUCAACAAUAAAGGGCAGCCAUAGUUGCCUAGUUACCUAUUAAUAAGGCACAAUUCCGCUAGGCUUGGUUAGCUAGUUAGGUCAGUUGAAUCAUAAAUUUUUCUUAGGACAAAGCCUAAUGAGCUAGGGUAGUCGUUAAAGCAUUUGUUAAAUUAUAUAUUAUCACUGCCAUGAAUAAAGUGCAUUAUCUUUUAUUUACUCUAUUCUCUAUAUUUCUUUUGGUAUGUGUUUGUCUCCACAUAUUGCGCAGAAAAGUAUAUAGGAAAACAAGUGUGGGGGAGGCACAUUGCAGUCACGAAACGAAAAUUUGAUCGGGAAAAUAGCAUAAUCUGGAACACAAUCGAACCAAGACCAUGCACAGCAAAGCGGGCCCCACAUUACCCAAUAGUGGGGCCGACCGACGCCUAGGUGGGGCCGGGCAGCGCCGUGCUCGCUCGCCUUCCCUCUCGCUUCUGUCACGGUCAGGUUUGAGUUGAUUACAGUAUAAUUGCAUACAUCUUACCUUGAAUUGUCAUCUGAAUCAUGAAUCUUUAUAUUAAAUAUUUUUAAGAAAUAAUAAACACCAUUUAAUCUAUGACUUGAAAAUAAAUUAUAUAACCCUUUUCUAGAGUCAUGUUAAUUGUGAAAUUUAUAGUACUUCAUGAUUGCUUAAGUUAUUGUGGAAAGAGAGGUAGCAAAAUAAUGAGUACUCAAUUCCUGAUAAUUUGUCUUUGGAGAUUUUCUUUCAAAAAGGUAAAAACAAUUAGCUUCACCUCUCUUUGUAUUGGAAUCAAUAAUAAUCAUAUCAUUCUAUUAUUAUGACUUUGGUUGAGAGAUUUAUCAUAUUCCUAGUAUCAUAAAAUAUAAAUGAAAAUGAAAUAAAAACAUAAUACACUCUCUUGAAGCACUAUUAUGAAGGAGGCAUGAACUAUUCAUAAAGAAAUCCGAGAAAAUAAAAAGGGACAAGUGUCCGAAACCUCAAAAAGAUAGAUCACAAGGAAAUAAAAAGGGACAAGUGUCCGGAACCUCGAUUCGAAAAAAAAGAGAGAGCUCAUGGUUCCUCCAACAUAAUAUGCCAAGGAGUGGAUGAUUUGUCUGAUCCAAGAAUAUGAUAUUUCCCUCCCUGGUUAUAAACAUCAAAUUAAUAUCACAACAAUUGAUGCCACCACAAUUAAGAGAAGGUCGAAGCUAUGUUUUAUUUGCAAACUCCACUUACUCUCUAGUAGACAAAAUUUAAGGAAGAGAGUAGUCUAUUUUAAGCUAUCCUACUCUACAAUCACUAUAGAAUUCAUGAUAAACACUUUAAAUUUCCACAAUGCAUGAUGGCUAGACUAGUUUUAUAUAAUUUAAUUUCCAAGUUAUGCAUUAAAUGUUUACUCAUUAUGAUAGAACCAACCUUUUUAUUGGGACGAGUAAAAGCCUAAGUGUGGGGGUAAUUGUUGACACUUGUUAAGUCACAAUAUUUGUUAGCAUUUAUUUCUCCACCAGGUAUGAAUAUCUACUAGAAUAGGGUUGUUAUUGACAAUUUCCACGAGUUUUGCAUAUUCUGUGUUUUCCAGGGUUUAUUUUAGAAAGAGCUGAAAAGAGGGAUUCAAGUGCAAAAUAAACACGAAACUUAUCCGCGACGCAACAACACCGCCAACGGGACGUGGGAAGACUCUGGAAGACACCCGAAGAGCCGGGAGGCCAGAGGCCGCUAGGUGGGGCCGGCUGGCCCCACCCUAGCACUGGCCGACGCCCCCCUGCUAGGGUUUUGGCCCCCGUUCCGAAAGCUUCCUCCACCGCCUCGGAAGAGCCAUCUUGGCCGCUUGUUAAGUCAGUUUGAUCAAACAUCGCGUAUCCAUCCCACCGGGCUAUAAAUAGAAGGCUAGACCCCCUGCAGGAGGCCAAAUCAAGAGAUGAAGAGUCAGAGCAUUAGAUAGAUAUUAACUAGAUCUAGGCUAGCACUCAAGAUAGAGAUUAGAGAGAUAGAGUAGAGGAGUAGAGAUUUGGAGGAGUCCUGGCCUGUUGGAGCUUCCUGAGGAGCUGUAUUCAUCUGGAUUCGGCUCCCUUGCCCGGAGCUGCAUUCUGAGAUACUUUUGUAUUUAUCAUUCUGAUUCAGUAAGCAACUUGUUUUUAUUUGUUCUUUGGUUUGCAACUCAUAUUAUAUUGAGUAUUUCGAUUUGGGUAGCUCCUAGGUUGGAGUAGUGAUUCAUAGCGUAGAUAUGGUGUUUGGGCUAUGGUUGCUUGUAGAUGUCCCGUAAUCAGCCGGACAGUGGUAGCUCACGUAGGUGACUUUAUAGCUACGUUGAAUCCGCUAUAGUCCACUUCCCGUUGAUAGGACCGAUGGGCUUAUAGGUGCCUGAUAGGAGAUUACUCUAUUUCUUCUCCUAUUCAGGUUACUUGCCCGAUAAUACGAUAUUAUACAAAGCUUACCGAUUAUUAGAAUCAGAGUACAUUAGCUAUUUCCUCAUUCUCAAUAGUUUUCUAAAUUGAUUGUACCCCCCUUAGAUUAAGAGUUAUAGACUAGGUCAUAAAUCACCUACUGUUCCUAUGGGUUCGAUAUUAAAAUCAGGUUGAUCUUGGUGAAGUGUUGAUCAAUAUAUAUCUGUGCGCUUGCGGAUAAUCUGAGUAUAAUCAAUAUUUAGGGUGCAGUUAAUUUAUACCAACCAGCCUCCCCCUGGUCGCCUCCAACCCUAGGUCGCCUCUCUUUUAUAUUUCAUGCAUCCGCCGCUGUUUAGACUUGGCUUUUGUUUAGAGUUUAGUUCUCAAACGAGAAACUGAAUCGUUCAUUGUAACGGUAGUGACAAAUUCUUUUGCAGCGAUCCAGGGCCUCCAUUCUUGAUCUCCUCCACUAUGUCGAUUAGUCCUUUAGAACCGAGUUCUUGAACCCUCUUUGAAUAUUCAUGUCAUUCAUAUUUGCAAUUUUAGAUUGCGCGUUUAUAUUUUCUAGCAUGUGUUCUUUGAUUUGCUUGUAGGAACAACCUUCUUGGCGAGGUCAAUCAAAUUGUGCUUGGUUGAUAACCAACAGAGCAGUGGUGUAAUGGUUGUAGGGUUCGAAUCAUGCUGAUUUGAAGCUGGAUCGCUGUUGACGGUCCUUAAUGCUCACAUUUAACCGUCAACUAAUCAUAAAAAAGGAUCCAAAUGCAACCAACACCUAGACUUAGGGUUUCAUCUGUUAAAUUUCACGAGUUUUGGUGUUUGUCUAUUUCUGCAGGGGGGUUAUCAGGAAAUACGAAGAAAAGGCCCACACGUCGGGUUUACAAAGAGAAUUAAUGUGUGCGGUAAUUUUCCAUAAUCAGGAAGACUCUAGAAGCAACUCGACCGAAGCGGAGCCAAGACGGGCCCGGGGCUAGGGCGCCCGCCCUUGAUCCUAGGGCGCCCGCCCUGGUACAAGCACCAAUCACAGAAUGGAGUACACCAUUACAAAGAUCUCGUCGAGCUGAUCGAAAUGCAUAUAUUAUUUGUUAUGUUUGGAGUUCGGAAUCAAGAGAUAUUAAUAAAAAAAGAACUCCACAUAAAAGAGCUGCGGGAUUAAUUGGGCCUAAAUCAAAUUUUGGUCCAUUAAGGCCUAUGUGCAUUUUAAUGAGAUAUGGUGGAAAUUUUAGUACCACAUCGCCUGCUGAACCAAAAAGGCACAAAGGAGGAGGCUAUAUAAGCAAGGCUUCUGGCCCCUGGAGGAGAACACAUCAUUAUAGAGUUGAGAGGUGCCCUCGAAGGAUAACCUUUCCUCUAUAGAGAAUUAGGGCUAGACAUUCCAAUGUAGUAGAUUAGUUCUAGUAGGGAGUUAGGGAGAGCGGAGCUGUGCUUCGGUUCUGGAGAAGUCUUCAGAGUUUUGGUAUGCCUUUAUAUUUAUUGUAAGACUUAUGCUUUAAUAUAUUUAUCUUCUCUAUUUACUUUUAUGCCUUUAUUAUUAUCGAGUAGUGUAGUUGUUAUAUUUUGGCAUAGGAUCUCCGUUCGCAUCGAGUGCUCUAGUUAUUCAUGGCAAUUAGAGUAGUAAUCGUUAGUGUAGACGUGGUGUCUAUACUAUAAGUUACCUGAGGUUGCACCCAGUCCUGCGGAUUGUUGUGGUAGCCUUAGGGUAGUGACAGCCCUAACGGUCGACGUAUUCCACCUCGUUCGGAUCGGUGUUUGUAGGACCGUAGUCAGAGCUUCCCCUUCCAGUUCUCUUUCUGUGGUUGGUGUUCUGAUGUCCCAAAGUGCUAAUAUGUGAUUGCUAUAUCUAUUCAUUCUUUGUUAUCAUAGAAUUGAAGUAAUAGAGAAGUAUACUGGAACCCAGGUCUAUCCCGUUGUCCUCCCGCUAUGGCUAUCUACGCAUUUAUCAUAGAACUCACCUUUAUAUUAUUACCUAUCAUAUAUCAUUUACCCCUACUUUAGUCUAGUUGGUUUAUUAAAUUAGUAGAUGCAUGAUAGUAAGUUAUCAGAUUCUUUGACCUUAGCUUCCCAGUGGUAAAAUAUAAAUAACGAUACUUGGAAUACUCCCGGUAAAAUGCUACGAUGAUGUUCUGUGCGCUUGCGGAAUUUUUUUAUUCUUAUUGCACUUAACGAAUGUCAACAAGCAUUUAUGUUGCUGUUGCCGGGGAAGCAAUUGGUGUGAAGAUUUUGAUAAUGAUCUUGAUGUGUGCUAAUUUAAUGUAUCACUAGCUUUAGUAGGUUUAUUGUAUUUAUCUUUUCUGCAUUUAUUUUUAGCAUCAUCAUUUCUCCAUAACAUAUUUAUCUUUCUACAUUAUUAUUGCAUUAGAAAAUAUAAUAAAAAUAUUUUAUAUAACUCAUUGCAUUUUAAAUACUAAAACCCCAUGUGAAUAAAUUGUGUGGUGUGUAAAAGCCAACACGGAUAUUCACCGUGGUGGAAGAAAAAAUAUAUAAAUAAAUAAAAGUAAAUAAACAUGCAUUCAUCCUGUUCCAUUUCCUUUUGCUUCAUAAAAAGAUUAAAACCCAAAAAAAUAUAUAUAUAUUAAGAAAGAGAUCUUGUUGAAACUCUGCUUAGAAAAAGAAUUAAGAAAAAUCUAAAAAGCUUGGACAACUAAGGCUUAAGUGGCCAACUACUUGUUGACGGUCCUUAAUGCUCACAUUUAACCGUCAACUAAUCAUGAAAAAGGAUCCAAAUGCAACCGACACCUAGACUUAGGGUUUCAUCUGACAGAUUUCCACGAGUUUUGGUGUUUGUCUAUUUCUACAGGGGGUUAUCAGGAAAUACAAAGGAAAUGCCCACACGUCGGUAUUACAUAGAGAUAUUAACGUGUCGUGCAAUUUUCUAUCAUCUAGAAGACUCCAGAAGCCACGGGAACGAACGGGAGGCCGAACGGGCCCGGGGGCAGGGCGCCCGCCCUCCCCCCUUGGGCGCCCGCCCUGGUACAAGCACCAAUCAUAGAAUGGAGUACACCAUUACAAAGAUCUCGUCGAGCUGAUCGAAAUGCAUAUAUUAUUUGCUUAUUUGGAGUUUGGAAUCAAGAGAUAUUAAUAAAAGAAGGACUCCACAUAAAAGAGCUGCGGGAUUAAUUGGGCCCAAAUCAUAUUUUGGUCCAUUAAGGCCUAUGUGCAUUUUAAUGAGAUAUGGUGAAAAGUUUAGUACCACAUUGCCUGCUGAACCAAAAAGGCACAAAGGAGGAGGACUAUAUAAGCAAGGCCCCUGGCCCCUGGAGGAGAACACAUCAUUAUAGAGUUGAGAGGUGCCCUCGAAGGAUAACCUUCCUCUAUAGAGAAUUAGGGCUAGACAUUCCAAUGUAGUAGAUUAGUUCUAGUCGGGAGUUAGGGAGAGCGGAGCCGCGCUUCAGUUCUGGAGAAGUCUUCAGAGUUUUGGUAUGCCUUUAUAUUUAUUGUAAGACUUAUGCUUUAAUAUAUUUAUCUUCUCUAUUUACUUUUAUGCCUUUAUUAUUAUCGAGUAGUGUAGUUGUUAUAUUUUGGCAUAGGAUCUCCGUUCGCAUCGAGUGCUCUAGUUAUUCAUGGUAAUUAGAGUAGUAAUCGUUAGUGUAGACGUAGUGUCUAUACUAGAGGUUACCUGAGCUUGCACCUAGUCCUGCGGAUUGUUGUGGUAGCCCUAGGGUAGUGACAGCCCUAACGGUCGACGUAUUCCACCUCGUUCGGAUCGGUGUUUGUAGGACCGUAGUCAGAGCUUCCCAGCCCCCUUCCAGUUCUCUUUCUGUGGUUGGUGUUCUGAUGUUGCAAAGUGCUAAUAUGUGAUUGCUAUAUCUAUUCAUUCUUUGUUAUCAUAGAACUGAAGUAAUAGAGAAGUAUACAGGAACCCAGGUCUCUCCCGUUGUCCUCCCGCUAUGGCUAUCUACGCAUUUAUCAUAGAAUUCUCACCUUUAUAUUAUUACCUAUCAUAUAUCAUUUACCCCUACUUUAGUCUAGUUGGUUUAUUAAAUUAGUAGAUGCAUGAUAGUAAGUUAUCAGAUUCUUUGACCUUAGCUUCCCAGUGGUAAAAUAUAAAUAACGAUACUUGGAAUACUCCCGGUAAAAUGCUACGAUGAUGUUCUGUGCGCUUGCAGAAUUUUUCUUAUUCUUAUUGCACUUAACGAAUGUCAACAAGAAUUUAUGUUGCUGUUGCCGGGGAAGCAAUUGGUGUGAAGAUUUUGAUAAUGAUCUUGAUGUGUGCUAAUUUAAUGUAUCACUAGCUUUAGUAGGUUUAUUGUAUUUAUCUUUUCUGCAUUUAUUUUUAGCAUCAUCAUUUCUCCAUAACAUAUUUAUCUUUCUACAUUAUUAUUGCAUUAGAAAAUAUAAUAAAAAUAUUUUAUAUAACUCAUUGCAUUUUAAAUACUAAAACCCCAUGUGAAUAAAUUGUGUGGUGUGUAAAAGCCAACACGGAUAUUCACCGUGGUGGAAGAAAAAAUAUAUAAAUAAAUAAAAGUAAAUAAACAUGCAUUCAUCCUGUUCCAUUUCCUUUUGCUUCAUAAAAAGAUUAAAACCCAAAAAAAUAUAUAUAUAUUAAGAAAGAGAUCUUGUUGAAACUCUGCUUAGAAAAAGAAUUAAGAAAAAUCUAAAAAGCUUGGACAACUAAGGCUUAAGUGGCCAACUACUUGUUGACGGUCCUUAAUGCUCACAUUUAACCGUCAACUAAUCAUGAAAAAGGAUCCAAAUGCAACCGACACCUAGACUUAGGGUUUCAUCUGACAGAUUUCCACGAGUUUUGGUGUUUGUCUAUUUCUACAGGGGGUUAUCAGGAAAUACAAAGGAAAUGCCCACACGUCGGUAUUACAUAGAGAUAUUAACGUGUCGUGCAAUUUUCUAUCAUCUAGAAGACUCCAGAAGCCACGGGAACGAACGGGAGGCCGAACGGGCCCGGGGGCAGGGCGCCCGCCCCCCCCCUUGGGCGCCCGCCCUGGUACAAGCACCAAUCAUAGAAUGGAGUACACCAUUACAAAGAUCUCGUCGAGCUGAUCGAAAUGCAUAUAUUAUUUGCUUAUUUGGAGUUUGGAAUCAAGAGAUAUUAAUAAAAGAAGGACUCCACAUAAAAGAGCUGCGGGAUUAAUUGGGCCCAAAUCAUAUUUUGGUCCAUUAAGGCCUAUGUGCAUUUUAAUGAGAUAUGGUGAAAAGUUUAGUACCACAUUGCCUGCUGAACCAAAAAGGCACAAAGGAGGAGGACUAUAUAAGCAAGGCCCCUGGCCCCUGGAGGAGAACACAUCAUUAUAGAGUUGAGAGGUGCCCUCGAAGGAUAACCUUCCUCUAUAGAGAAUUAGGGCUAGACAUUCCAAUGUAGUAGAUUAGUUCUAGUCGGGAGUUAGGGAGAGCGGAGCCGCGCUUCAGUUCUGGAGAAGUCUUCAGAGUUUUGGUAUGCCUUUAUAUUUAUUGUAAGACUUAUGCUUUAAUAUAUUUAUCUUCUCUAUUUACUUUUAUGCCUUUAUUAUUAUCGAGUAGUGUAGUUGUUAUAUUUUGGCAUAGGAUCUCUAUUCGCAUCGAGUGCUCUAGUUAUUCAUGGUAAUUAGAGUAGUAAUCGUUAGUGUAGACGUAGUGUCUAUACUAGAGGUUACCUGAGCUUGCACCUAGUCCUGCGGAUUGUUGUGGUAGCCCUAGGGUAGUGACAGCCCUAACGGUCGACGUAUUCCACCUCGUUCGGAUCGGUGUUUGUAGGACCGUAGUCAGAGCUUCCCAGCCCCCUUCCAGUUCUCUUUCUGUGGUUGGUGUUCUGAUGUUGCAAAGUGCUAAUAUGUGAUUGCUAUAUCUAUUCAUUCUUUGUUAUCAUAGAACUGAAGUAAUAGAGAAGUAUACAGGAACCCAGGUCUCUCCCGUUGUCCUCCCGCUAUGGCUAUCUACGCAUUUAUCAUAGAAUUCUCACCUUUAUAUUAUUACCUAUCAUAUAUCAUUUACCCCUACUUUAGUCUAGUUGGUUUAUUAAAUUAGUAGAUGCAUGAUAGUAAGUUAUCAGAUUCUUUGACCUUAGCUUCCCAGUGGUAAAAUAUAAAUAACGAUACUUGGAAUACUCCCGGUAAAAUGCUACGAUGAUGUUCUGUGCGCUUGCAGAAUUUUUCUUAUUCUUAUUGCACUUAACGAAUGCCAACACUACUAAUGUUUAAUCGGUGCCACAAGUUUUGUUGUCCAUUUGAGUUUAACAUGAUUUAAAGAGAGAAUCCCCAAUGAUCAAGAUAUCUUCAUCAACUUGAAGCGCUGCAAUCAUCACUGACACUUUGAAGCUCAAGAAUAUUGAAGAACAUCUGUGUUGUGCGGAUUCAAGAUUAAAGGCUAUGUCAACAUUUAGCUUGGUGGAAAGCAAUCCCGUUAUCUUCGCGAUUUAGGCUUGAAGUAAAAGAGUGAAGAAUAACAACGAGGUAUGUCCAACCAAUCAUCAUGCAACAUUGAAUUAAAUUCAUCCAAACUUGACUUGUUCAAGCUGGGGGGAAUACCAUACACAAAAACAUCCUUUGCCAUGUUGCUAUGUUGGUUGUCCCUACCCUUAAGACAUGCUCAAUUUGUUAAACACUAAUCAUUCUACUUCAUCCCCACUUGAGUAGAUCCCUAUAAUGUUGUCAUGCUAUCUUUGUCUAUUCACAAGUAAGUGUUGGUUUGGAAGUACUCGACAUACUUCCAUUGGCAUUUAAAUUAAGCAUGGUGCUUAGGUUAAAUAGCCUUCCUUAAUCCGAUUAGACAUGGAGUCUAGUUUGGUUAUUGAACUAAAAACUUCUUGUGUAGACACUGGUAUAUUUUGUUGGACUAUCCCCUGCAGGAAAGUUUUCAAUAUCGAUUUGAGAAGUCCUGAGAUAAAUUCAGAAUGGAGAUAAAGAGGGAGACACAUGAAGUUUAACAAUUUGCACAAGAAAGACAUAGCUCGUCCAUCAUAGAGAGAUAAUACAUGGAACGAGACGAAGAGUGCCACGAACAAGAUGCACAACCAUUGAGAAAGAAAAGCUUCCACAAGGUGAUAUUGUACCAUCACUCUUCAAUUAAGGUAACAUCUUAAGGUAUGUGACUGUCACUGUUAUAAGCUUCUCCUUGAUUCUAGCAUGCACAUGGAUAAAAAGACAAACAUGUAUGAUUUAUAACUCAGAAUUAACCAAUCCAAUUGAUUCAACAUGUUUAGUCCUUUAAUCUUUGUUUCUGGUACUACCUUCUUGAUCCCACAGUCUUAACCAUAUGAGCUAAAAUGUUGUACAUCCGAUCUUUGGAAAAUGAUAGUCAUGUAAAGAAAAAAACAUUUACUUAGAUAGAUUAUCUUUCCAUAAGGUUGAGUGAUCUCAUCUGACAAAUGUUUUAACUGAUACACUCAUGAUCUUAUCAUCCAUCAACUUUGUCUUGCUCACUAUGCUUAAGGUUAGAGAAGAACAAAUACACUUUUGGUUCUGUUAGUGUUUUACACCAACAGGGCCCAUGCACUUGAUCUCUACCUUGUCUCUAUGAGCAGGAUACACUUCGAGCAAAACAUGGAGAAGUUUUCCAACUCCCAGACUCUACCAAGUGAAGGACCUGGAUCUACGAGCACAAACACACUGAGGAGGAUGCUGCCAUCUUCGCACUUCGAACUGCUGGGCAAACGAAAAACAUGGGUGACACCGUAUCAAGAGGUGCAGAUGUCAAGGUCCACACCUAACUCAAAUGACGCACCUAAAGAAUGAACACGGUGAGAAGUCUUGUUCAGAAGACUUAAAAUAUUGAACCCUCACCGAAAGGUAAAAUCGGUAGUUAUCCAUAUUUAUCCUUUCUGCAUUCCCUUUUUUUCUUAAAUUAUUUACUUUCCUCAAAUAGCUUGUUAGUUAAUCAUGCUAUCUUGAAAAGAAAAUAAAAAUGUUAAAAACAGUAAGCCCCAUGUGAGUAUGCUCGUGGCAUAAAACCCAUUCACUGUGGUGGCGUAAAAAUAAAAUAAAUAUAUUCUUGUCCUGUAAAAAUGAAAAUAUAAAAAUAAAUUUUUGAUCCUAUUAAAGAGAGUAAUAUUUAUUAGAGGAAGCUCAAAAUGAUAAAGGCUAAGAGAUUUUAUGCUAACACUUAACCAGUUCCACGAAGCUUUGUUGUCUAUUUGAGCUCCACAGAAUUCAAGGAUCAAGGAAGACUAGCAGACGGAGGAUAUCCUAAUCGCUAUCAGGGUGCUGCCAACAUUCAAAUACACCUACGCCACCUGCUAGCUACAUCAAAAGAAAUUACGUUAAAAUCUAGCUUGGGGGAGAGCACCCCCAUUUAUCCAGCUAAGUGUUUCUACUCACAUUUAUACCUUACUCAAAUAAUAAAAAAUACAUAAUCAUAAAAAUCCAAUUAAACAUUUUGUGCUUAUAUAUAUCUUUGCUUAGUUUGCUAAAUAAAUAAAUAAAGUGUCUAUGCCAAACUGAACUUCGAUGAUAAACUCUUACAUGGAUAUGAUGAAUAGUUGCUCUACCAAGUACCUAGUUUUCAAAUUUGAGCUCUCUCUCAAGUUUAGGCAUAACUGUUAUAAUUUAAAGCUUGCUCUAAACCUGAAUUUGCGGGAAGAGUACCUAAUCAAAAGUCUAAGUCGUUAACAGAUAUGAUAUGGGAAGGUUGAGCUGUUGUUUAUCUGUUCCUAGAGAUGCUAGAAUUCUGGAGAAUUUUAUCUUUGAAAAUCUUUAAAAUGUUGCAUGAUGAGUUCCUGUAUGAUGAGAGUUUUAAAUCCUACCACAGCCAUAUAUACAUGCUUAUUAGACUAUGAACCAUACAUUUACUUUUUACUGCUUAUGAGCAUCGAGUGUGGUCAAGCUAUGUAGACCCUUAGGAGCUUGUCAUGCGGUUAAAAUCAUGAUUCACUUGCACGUUCACUCAUACAUGCUACUUCUACUCUGGAAGUACGCAUCCACAUACAUCCACUCAUUUCCAUCGCCAGAUUCACCCAAAAUUAUUCUACUCCUAUCCGGGAGAGAAUAGCCAAAAACAUUAUCCUAUCCCUGUUAUUCCCCGUGAAAUAAAUGCUCGAGAUAUUUUGGUUACUACCACUUGCUACAUUAUUCCAGGAGGGUGAGUGCUCUGAAAAAAAAUGAAUACGAGGAAAUAAAAAGGGGCAAGUGCUCGGAACCUCGAAGAAAAGAAAAAGUAAGACGAGAGGUAAAAAUGGACAAGUGUCCGACAAUAGAAUUAGGGGUACAAGAUACCCACCUGAGAGAAAAGAAAAAAGAAAAUAUAGAGCAUCUCAUUCCCCUCAAAAAGCUUCAAAGUGCAAGAAAGGUAUGUAUCCCCUCAAAAGAGCAAACGUAGAAUUAGACUUUCACCAUUAUCACCAUCAUCACCAUACACCAUUCAUUCGCCACACAUGCACAUCUUGAUUUGACUUAUUGACUUGUUCUUCUGGAUCCAUGGUUUGACUAUGCAACAAAUGUCUUGUAUGUAUGUAUACUUUAUCUCCCACCUAUGACCUCCAGAUAUCAAAACCUUAUUAGAGUAGGGUGAGAAAGAAGGCAAUACCACUAUGCCUCAUACCAAAAAUACCACAUACUUUGAGAGAAGGCAUACACCAUUACUGCCUUGGUAAGGAUCCAGAAAUACCACAAAAGAGAGACUGGAGAGAGUCAUACAAGGAAUCUCUGAGUUUUAUUUGAAAAUCUGCAAAAACUCUAGAGCUAUAGUUAAUUGAAGAAUAAGAGACAUGGCGCUUGACUAGACCGUACUAUCUUUUAACUGCUAAAGACAUAAGUGAUGGUUGCAAGCCCCAUGGUGAAAGGUAAAAUGAGUAAGUUUAAAUCUUAACAGUUUACCCUAACCCAGAGAUGAGAUCUUGUUUGAAAGCAUGUGUACCUUUAAGGCAUGAAACCACUGC
RNAcentral lists this long non-coding RNA (34347 nucleotides) under Sorghum bicolor (sorghum). RNAcentral describes it as "long non-coding RNA (SBIC_LNC014707)". Lineage: Eukaryota; Viridiplantae; Streptophyta; Magnoliopsida; Poales; Poaceae. The record is from RNAcentral.